Molecule: RNA transcript, 987 nt
Organism: Jatropha curcas
Lineage: Eukaryota; Viridiplantae; Streptophyta; Magnoliopsida; Malpighiales; Euphorbiaceae
Gene name: tRNA-specific adenosine deaminase TAD2
Source: RefSeq, a predicted model, not a curated record
AACCGUCAGAUCAAAGCUCCCUUCUCUGCUGCAGUAGCUUCUGUUCCUCGGCAGUCGGCACUCGGCAGACUCACUAGUCACUUGCCGCCACCCUCCUCUUCUUCUUCAUCUUCAUCUUUUUUCUCUCUUCAACACACAAAAUCCCUAGCCUAUGCCUGUGCCUUUCGCGGAAACGAAAGAAGGUUGAAAUUGAUGGAAGUUCAAGGUCAAAGGGAAUUGUCUUCACAAGAUAAUCUUGCAUACAUGGAGCUUGCAAUGGAACAGGCAAAAUAUGCACUGGAUUGUCUUGAAGUGCCAGUGGGUUGUCUGAUUGUUGAAGGUGGGAAAGUCAUUGCAUCUGGAAGAAAUCGAACAACAGAGACAAGAAAUGCCACAAGACAUGCUGAGAUGGAAGCAAUAGAUGUUCUUCUUAAGCAGUGGCAAAAAAGUGGACUUUCAACAUUAGAAGUUGCUGAAAAUUUUUCACAAUGUACUCUCUAUGUUACGUGUGAACCAUGUAUCAUUUGUGCUGCAGCUCUAUCUAUUCUUGGUAUAAAGGAAGUGUAUUACGGAUGUGCAAAUGAUAAAUUUGGAGGGUGUGGAUCAAUAUUGUCAUUACAUUCUGGGAGCUUUCAACCACUUAAUAGAGGAUGGAGAGCCUUCUACCAAAGAUAAGGGCAAGAGCAAAGCUUAAGGAGCUUUGAUUAAAGCUUACUAAACCUUGUUUUGAAGCUCCGAAGCCUCACAGGCCAGUGACGCUUCAGGUAAUACACCACUCUUGAAACUACUGGAUUACCAUUUGUUUCCCAUUAUCAUGAUUUAGGACUUGUUCUUACAAAGAGUAUUUGUUAUAAAUUGAUAUAUGGACAAAGCAAUUGUAUUGAGUUAAGAAAUAUUUACUUAAAAAUGUAGUAUUUUCAAUUUUCAUUCACUUUUGGAAGUGUAUACUUCAAUUUCUUUUCUUACCAAGUAUAGAACUCGUGAUGACUUUUAUUCUUUUGGGUAAAA